CAGCAGCCGCGGUAAUACGAAGGGUGCAAGCGUUACUCGGAAUUACUGGGCGUAAAGCGUGCGUAGGUGGUGGUUUAAGUCCGUUGUGAAAGCCCUGGGCUCAACCUGGGAAUUGCAGUGGAUACUGGGUCACUAGAGUGUGGUAGAGGAUAGUGGAAUUUCCGGUGUAGCAGUGAAAUGCGUAGAGAUCGGAAGGAACAUCUGUGGCGAAGGCGGCCAUCUGGGACAACACUGACGCUGAGGCACGAAAGCGUGGGGAGCAAACAGGAUUAGAUACCCCAGUAGUCCCUGUCUCUUAUAC
This 301-nucleotide ribosomal RNA is filed under the name uncultured bacterium. RNAcentral's name for it is "partial 16S ribosomal RNA". It matches the Rfam family "Bacterial small subunit ribosomal RNA", at positions 509 to 807 of the family's 1533-position model. The record is from RNAcentral.